RNAcentral lists this ribosomal RNA (492 nucleotides) under uncultured bacterium. RNAcentral's name for it is "partial 16S ribosomal RNA". It matches the Rfam family "Bacterial small subunit ribosomal RNA", at positions 29 to 507 of the family's 1533-position model. The record is from RNAcentral.
AGUGAACGCUGGCGGUAGGCCUAACACAUGCAAGUCGAACGGCAGCACAGUAAGAGCUUGCUCUUACGGGUGGCGAGUGGCGGACGGGUGAGGAAUACAUCGGAAUCUACUUUUUCGUGGGGGAUAACGUAGGGAAACUUACGCUAAUACCGCAUACGACCUACGGGUGAAAGCAGGGGAUCCUCGGACCUUGCGCGAUUGAAUGAGCCGAUGUCGGAUUAGCUAGUUGGCGGGGUAAAGGCCCACCAAGGCGACGAUCCGUAGCUGGUCUGAGAGGAUGAUCAGCCACACUGGAACUGAGACACGGUCCAGACUCCUACGGGAGGCAGCAGUGGGGAAUGUUGGACAAUGGGCGCAAGCCUGAUCCAGCCAUACCGCGUGGGUGAAGAAGGCCUUCGGGUUGUAAAGCCCUUUUGUUGGGAAAGAAAAGCAGCAGGUUAAUACCCCGCUGUUCUGACGGUACCCAAAGAAUAAGCACCGGCUAACUUCGUG